Molecule: ribosomal RNA, 493 nt
Filed under: uncultured bacterium
Lineage: Bacteria
Description: partial 16S ribosomal RNA
Rfam family: Bacterial small subunit ribosomal RNA
Source: RNAcentral
AUUGAACGCUGGCGGCAUGCUUUACACAUGCAAGUCGAACGGUAACAGGUUAAGCUGACGAGUGGCGAACGGGUGAGUAAUGCAGCGGAACGUGCCCGGUCGUGGGGGAUAACGCAGCGAAAGCUGCGCUAAUACCGCAUACGAUCUACGGAUGACAGCGGGGGACCGUAAGGGCUCGCGCGAUCGGAGCGGCCGGUGUCAGAUUAGGUAGUUGGUGGGGUAAAGGCUCACCAAGCCAACGAUCUGUAGCUGGUCUGAGAGGACGACCAGCCACACUGGGACUGAGACACGGCCCAGACUCCUACGGGAGGCAGCAGUGGGGAAUUUUGGACAAUGGGCGAAAGCCUGAUCCAGCAAUGCCGCGUGCAGGAAGAAGGCCUUCGGGUUGUGAACUGCUUUUGUACGGAGCGAAAAGGUCUCCUCUAAUACAGGGGGCUCAUGACGGUACCGUAAGAAUAAGCACCGGCUAACUACGUGCCAGUCGCCGCCGUAA